AUGUGCGGCGAGGAAACAAGCAUGGCUGUCGGCGGCACUGCCGUGUCAACACAGAUGCCAUUGACCGGGGCGGCGUUGAAGCACAUUUCGAUGGAGAUCAGGACGCUGUUAUUCAAGAUCGAACAAAAAGUGGCGAUGGAGGCUCUGCUCAAUCGACUGGCAAAGUGGCUCCCCAAGCCCCUGGAUGGACUAAGAGAUGGCGGAGAGAGCUGCGGCCCUAAGGCCUUCUAUGGGUGGCCGGGCAUCGAGCAUGACCCAGAUGAACAAGCAGGCAUCUGUGAUUGCAGACCAAGCAGAGAGUGGCGAUGCAACUUCCGCUCAAUCUACUGGCAAAAUGGAUCCACAGGUGUCGGGAUGGACCAAAAGGGUUAA
This 372-nucleotide ribosomal RNA is filed under the name Triticum aestivum (bread wheat). Its description in RNAcentral is "partial small subunit ribosomal RNA". The record is from RNAcentral. Lineage: Eukaryota; Viridiplantae; Streptophyta; Magnoliopsida; Poales; Poaceae.